This 775-nucleotide ribosomal RNA is filed under the name uncultured Neocallimastigales. Its description in RNAcentral is "partial large subunit ribosomal RNA". It matches the Rfam family "Eukaryotic large subunit ribosomal RNA", at positions 24 to 635 of the family's 3401-position model. The record is from RNAcentral. Lineage: Eukaryota; Fungi; Neocallimastigomycota; Neocallimastigomycetes; Neocallimastigales.
UAUGUGAUCGUCUCUCGCAUAUCAAUAAGCGGAGGAAAAGAAACUAACAAGGAUUCCCCUAGUAACGGCGAGUGAAGCGGGAAGAGCUCAAAUUUGAAAUCUUAAAGGGUUUCCCUUUACGAAUUGUAGUUUAAAGAAGUGUUUUCUGUUGAGGUUUUGGUAAAAGUUCUUUGGAAUAGGACAUCAUAGAGGGUGAGAAUCCCGUAUUUGACCUUUACUUUCAACUUUGUGAUACACUUUCAAAGAGUCGGAUUGUUUGGGAAUGCAGUCCAAAAUGGGUGGUAAAUUUCAUCUAAAGCUAAAUAUUGGCGAGAGACCGAUAGCGAACAAGUACCGUGAGGGAAAGAUGAAAAGAACUUUGAAAAGAGAGUUAAACAGUACGUGAAAUUGUCAAAAGGGAAGCGUUUGACACCAGUGUUGUUUUUCUGAAAAUCAAUUAAAGAACUGUUUAUGCUAAGUUGUUUAGGACUUUAUCAGCUAACUGUUUAGUUUUGAGCUUUUCUUUAAUGCACUUUUCAGUUAACAAGUCAACAUCAAUUUCUUUUGCUGUAAAAAAGCUUGAGGAAGGUGGCUUGAGAUUCGUCUUAAGUGUUUAUAGCCUCUUGCCUAUGCAGUCGGAGAGAUUGAGGUCUGCAGCGUAGAUCCUUCGGGGCUAAAUGCAUUUGUGCUAAGUUAUAGCAUUUUAUAGACAACUUGUUGACUACGAUUUGUCUUGUAGCUUACUCGCUUAUGUUAUUUUACCUACGCUUAGGAUGUUGAUCUACAGAGCGAGAGU